RNAcentral lists this ribosomal RNA (119 nucleotides) under Mastacembelus armatus (zig-zag eel). The record is from RNAcentral. Lineage: Eukaryota; Metazoa; Chordata; Actinopteri; Synbranchiformes; Mastacembelidae.
UCCAGCGGCCAUACCAUCCUGCAAGUGCCUGAUCCCGUCCAAUCAUGGAAGCUAGCCAGAGCCAGGCCUGGGUAGUACUUGCAUGGGAGACCACCUUAGAAGACCAGGGGCCACUGAAC